This 451-nucleotide long non-coding RNA is filed under the name Homo sapiens (human). Its description in RNAcentral is "HSALNT0405549". The record is from RNAcentral. Lineage: Eukaryota; Metazoa; Chordata; Mammalia; Primates; Hominidae.
GCUGGAAACCAUCAUUCUCAGCAAACUAUCACAAGGACAGAAAACCAAACACCACAUGUUCUCACCCAUGCUCUAACUUGAGCUUUAUACCUUUAUUACCCCACUGCAUAUGCCAUGUAUAGUGGCUAGCUGGUAUCCCACCCUCAUGUGAGAAGGGCUAAAUGAAGAGAUGCUGAGCCCCUUCAAACCCCACAGAGACUGUGAAACAGUGUUUUGGUGGUCUAUAGGAAAGGUUCAACUUGGCAAAUGUAGUGGUAAGUGAUGUCACUGAAUGCAUACCAUAUGUAUUGAGAGUCAGUGAAUGCUAUUCUCUCUGCUGCGCACAGGCAUGUGUAAGUGUUGGAAUGGAAAAAUCAUUUUUAUGAAAAUAUAGAGAAGUAAAACAAGAAUGUUCUGUCCUGAGCCUGAUCAGAUCACCAGUAGCUGCCAAGAGUGAACACUCCGUGUAAGG